Molecule: ribosomal RNA, 468 nt
Filed under: uncultured bacterium
Lineage: Bacteria
Description: partial 16S ribosomal RNA
Rfam family: Bacterial small subunit ribosomal RNA
Source: RNAcentral
GACGAACGCUGGCGGCGUGCUUAACACAUGCAAGUCGAACGAAAAGGCCCUGCUUUUGUGGGGUGCUCGAGUGGCGAACGGGUGAGUAACACGUGAGUAACCUGCCCUUGACUUUGGGAUAACUUCAGGAAACUGGGGCUAAUACCGGAUAGGAGCUCCUGCUGCAUGGUGGGGGUUGGAAAGUUUCGGCGGUUGGGGAUGGACUCGCGGCUUAUCAGCUUGUUGGUGGGGUAGUGGCUUACUAAGGCUUUGACGGGUAGCCGGCCUGAGAGGGUGACCGGCCACAUUGGGACUGAGAUACGGCCCAGACUCCUACGGGAGGCAGCAGUGGGGAAUAUUGCACAAUGGGCGGAAGCCUGAUGCAGCAACGCCGCGUGCGGGAUGACGGCCUUCGGGUUGUAAACCGCUUUCGCCUGUGACGAAGCGUGAGUGACGGUAAUGGGUAAAGAAGCACCGGCUAACUACGUG